RNAcentral lists this ribosomal RNA (253 nucleotides) under uncultured bacterium. Its description in RNAcentral is "partial 16S ribosomal RNA". It matches the Rfam family "Bacterial small subunit ribosomal RNA", at positions 524 to 776 of the family's 1533-position model. The record is from RNAcentral.
UACAGAGGUGGCAAGCGUUGUUCGGAAUUACUGGGCGUAAAGGGCGCGUAGGCGGCUUGGUCAGUCCCGUGUGAAAUCCCUCGGCUCAACUGAGGAACUGCACGGGAAACUGCCUGGCUUGAGUUCGGGAGAGGGAAGCGGAAUUCCGGGUGUAGCGGUGAAAUGCGUAGAUAUCCGGAGGAACACCGGUGGCGAAGGCGGCAUCCUGGACCAACACUGACGCUGAGGAGCGAAAGCCAGGGGAGCAAACGGG